CGGCCGCGUCGACGCCUACCAAGGCAACGAUCUGUAAGUUGGGUCUUGAGAGGACGACCAGGCCACACCUGGGACCUGAGACACGGCCCAGACUCCUACGGGAGGCAGCAGUGGGGAAUUUUGGACAAUGGGCGCUAAGCCUGAUCCAGCAAUGCCGCGUGCAGGAAGAAGGCCUUCGGGUUGUAAACUGCUUUUGUCAGGGAAGAAAGUCCUCUGGGCUAAUAUCCUGGGGGGAUGACGGUAAUGGGUAAAGAAGCUACCGGCUAACUACGUGCCCAGCAGCCGCGGUGAUACGUUAGGGUGCGAGCGUUGUCCGGAUUUAUUGGGCGUUAAAGGGCUCGUAGGUGGUUGAUCGCGUCGGAAGUGUAAUCUUUGGGGGCUUAACCCUGAGCGUGCUUUCGAUACCGGGUUGACUUGAGGAAGGUAGGGGUAGAAUCGGAAUUCCCUGGUUGGAGCGGUGGAAUGCGCAGAUAUCAGGAGGAACACCAAGUGGCGAAGGCGGUUCU
Molecule: ribosomal RNA, 506 nt
Filed under: uncultured Actinomycetes bacterium
Lineage: Bacteria; Bacillati; Actinomycetota; Actinomycetes
Description: bacterial SSU rRNA
Rfam family: Bacterial small subunit ribosomal RNA
Source: RNAcentral